CCUACGGGGGGCUGCAGUGAGGAAUAUUGGUCAAUGGCCGGAAGGCUGAACCAGCCAAGUCGCGUGAGGGAAUAAGGCCCUAUGGGUCGUAAACCUCUUUUGUCAGGGAGUAAAGGCGUCCACGAGUGGACGAAAGGAGAGUACCUGAAGAAAAAGCAUCGGCUAAAUCCGUGCCAGCAGCCGCGGUAAUACGGGGGAUGCGAGCGUUAUCCGGAUUUAUUGGGUUUAAAGGGUGCGUAGGCGGAGUGUCAAGUCAGCGGUAAAAUUUCGGGGCUAAACCCCGUCGUGCCGUUGAAACUGACAGCCUUGAGUACGUGAGAGGUAAGCGGAAUGCGUGGUGUAGCGGUGAAAUGCAUAGAUAUCACGCAGAACGCCGAUUGCGAAGGCAGCUUACCGGCGCUCAACUGACGCUGAGGCACGAAAGUGCGGGUAUCGAACAGGAUUAGAUACCCUAGUAGUC
RNAcentral lists this ribosomal RNA (460 nucleotides) under uncultured bacterium. RNAcentral's name for it is "partial 16S ribosomal RNA". It matches the Rfam family "Bacterial small subunit ribosomal RNA", at positions 338 to 795 of the family's 1533-position model. The record is from RNAcentral.